AGCUUGAACGCUGGCGGCGUGGCUAAGACAUGCAAGUCGAACGGGUGUAGCAAUACACCAGUGGCGGACGGGUGAGUAAUGUAUCGCUAACGUGCCCUAGAGCUAGGGAUAGCUGUCCGAAAGGACAGGUAAUACCUGAUGAUAUACCUUUGUCGCAUGACGAAGUUCUCAAAGCAGUAAUGCAC
This 185-nucleotide ribosomal RNA is filed under the name uncultured bacterium. RNAcentral describes it as "partial small subunit ribosomal RNA". It matches the Rfam family "Bacterial small subunit ribosomal RNA", at positions 26 to 218 of the family's 1533-position model. The record is from RNAcentral.